This 504-nucleotide ribosomal RNA is filed under the name uncultured bacterium. Its description in RNAcentral is "bacterial SSU rRNA". It matches the Rfam family "Bacterial small subunit ribosomal RNA", at positions 28 to 517 of the family's 1533-position model. The record is from RNAcentral.
GACGAACGCUGGCGGCGUGGAUUAGGCAUGCAAGUCGGACGGUAGGGCUUUAUCGUAAGAUAGAGUUUGAGAGUGGCGAAUGGGUGAGUAACACGUAGGAAUCUACCCUUAAGACGGGGACAACCCAGGGAAACUUGGGCUAAUACCGGAUGAGAGUGCGAGAGAUUGCAUUUAAAAGGAUGGCGAAAGUUAUCGCUUAGGGAUGAGCCUGCGGUCUAUUAGUUAGUUGGUGGGGUAAGAGCUCACCAAGGCGAUGAUAGAUAGGCGGCCUUAACGGGUGGUCGCCCACACUGGGAUUGAGAUACGGCCCAGACUCCUACGGGAGGCAGCAGUCGAGAAUAGUCUACAAUGGCCGGAAGGCUGAUAGUGCGACGCCGCGUGAACGAGGGAGCCCUUCGGGGUGUAAAGUUCUUUUCUUAUACGAGCAGUGCUAUAUAUAUGGAUAGUAUAUAUAGAGGGAUAGUAGUAUAGGAAUAAGAACGGCUAACUCCGUGCCAGCAGCCG